This 301-nucleotide ribosomal RNA is filed under the name uncultured bacterium. RNAcentral describes it as "partial 16S ribosomal RNA". It matches the Rfam family "Bacterial small subunit ribosomal RNA", at positions 509 to 807 of the family's 1533-position model. The record is from RNAcentral.
CAGUAGCCACGGUAAUACGAGGGGGGCAAGCGUUGUUCGGAAUUAUUGGGCGUAAAGGGUGCGUAGGCGGUUUGACAAGUCUUAUGUGAAAUCUUCGGGCUCAACCCGAAGUCUGCAUAGGAAACUGUCGGGCUUGAGUAUUGGAGAGGUGAGUGGAAUUUCCGGUGUAGCGGUGAAAUGCGUAGAUAUCGGAAGGAACACCUGUGGCGAAAGCGGCUCACUGGACAAUAACUGACGCUGAUGCACGAAAGCUAGGGGAGCAAACAGGAUUAGAUACCCGCGUAGUCCCUGUCUCUUAUAC